UGGCAUGAUAAGAUUGGUUGAAUUAAAUAUUACUUGACCCACAUGAUUUGUUUUUAUUAAUUUAUAUUUUCAUUCAACCAAUGAAUUAAUGUCACGUCAAUUUAUAUAAAAUAAAUUUAUAUAAAAAUUUAUGGUUGUAUCAUUACUCAUAAUAAUAACAACGAUGAUCGCAGUAACAACAGUAUUGAUGAUAAUGUAACAGUGGUAACAACAAUUAAAGUGAUAAUACAAAUAACAAAUUAUCAAUAAUACCAAAAACAAAAAUGGUGAUGAUAUGGCAAUCUCGGCGGGAUGGGACAGUUGGCAACUGUAGCAGCGUGGUAUAGUCGGCGACAGUGGCGGCUAGUGGCAAGUACCAGCAACGUUUGCGACGAGUGUGACAUUUCGAUGUGAGGCUGACGAGAUCGAACGCGUGCGACGAGUGGCGUUCGGCGGUGUGCUGCGCGAUUUGACGAGAUCAAUGCUGCUGUUGGUGGUUCGAAUCCCGGUGAAAGGGAAUUGGGGAUUUUUUUUUUCAUUUGCAUUCUUUUUUUGUAUUUUUAUUUAAAAAAAAAGUGGAAUUAGAAAAUCCUGGACCUGGAGAUAGGCUCUGUGCUGACACGUGUACCCAGAAGGAUCACCUUUGGUGCCACAGAUGUGGCCAGAUAGCAUCCGCUGCGUUGAUCUUCCCCACUGCAACAAAUCAACCUUUUAACAAUUUCCUCGGCUACGCCCACGGUUAGAAGAACAUAAAACAACUCUCGCUUUAUGUACGUCACCAUUUCUUCGAUACUUACACGUGGCUUCGAAACUCCGCGAGUGGGAGCUUGUUACUAU
RNAcentral lists this long non-coding RNA (816 nucleotides) under Citrus sinensis (sweet orange). RNAcentral's name for it is "long non-coding RNA (CSIN_LNC002674)". Lineage: Eukaryota; Viridiplantae; Streptophyta; Magnoliopsida; Sapindales; Rutaceae. The record is from RNAcentral.